Molecule: ribosomal RNA, 512 nt
Filed under: uncultured bacterium
Lineage: Bacteria
Description: bacterial SSU rRNA
Rfam family: Bacterial small subunit ribosomal RNA
Source: RNAcentral
CGCUGGCGGCGUGCCUAAUACAUGCAAGUCGAACGGUCUUUCUAUGGAAGCUUGCUUCCACUGAGAAGAUAGUGGCGAACGGGUGAGUAACACGUGGGUAACCUGCCCAUAAGAGGGGGGAUAACAUCCGGAAACGGGUGCUAAUACCGCAUAGUUUUCUUGAUCGCAUGAUCGGGAAAGGAAAGACGGCCUUUGUGCUGUCGCUUAUGGAUGGACCCGCGGCGUAUUAGUUAGUUGGUGAGGUAACGGCUCACCAAGACGAUGAUACGUAGCCGACCUGAGAGGGUGAUCGGCCACAUUGGGACUGAGACACGGCCCAAACUCCUACGGGAGGCAGCAGUAGGGAAUCUUCCGCAAUGGACGAAAGUCUGACGGAGCAACGCCGCGUGAGUGAAGAAAGGUUUUCGGAUCGUAAAACUCUGUUGUCAGAGAAGAACAAGUUGGAGAGUAACUGCUCCAGCCUUGACGGUAUCUGACCAGAAAGCCACGGCUAACUACGUGCCAGCAGCGGC